RNAcentral lists this ribosomal RNA (2987 nucleotides) under Salmonella enterica. Its description in RNAcentral is "bacterial LSU rRNA". It matches the Rfam family "Bacterial large subunit ribosomal RNA". Lineage: Bacteria; Pseudomonadati; Pseudomonadota; Gammaproteobacteria; Enterobacterales; Enterobacteriaceae. The record is from RNAcentral.
UUAAGCGACUAAGCGUACACGGUGGAUGCCCUGGCAGUCAGAGGCGAUGAAGGGCGUGCUAAUCUGCGAUAAGCGCCGGUAAGGUGAUAUGAACCGUUAUAACCGGCGAUACCCGAAUGGGGAAACCCAGUGUGAUUCGUCACACUAUCAUUAACUGAAUCCAUAGGUUAAUGAGGCGAACCGGGGGAACUGAAACAUCUAAGUACCCCGAGGAAAAGAAAUCAACCGAGAUUCCCCCAGUAGCGGCGAGCGAACGGGGAGGAGCCCAGAGCCUGAAUCAGCAUGUGUGUUAGUGGAAGCGUCUGGAAAGGCGCGCGAUACAGGGUGACAGCCCCGUACACAAAAGCGCAUGUGCUGUGAGCUCGAUGAGUAGGGCGGGACACGUGGUAUCCUGUCUGAAUAUGGGGGGACCAUCCUCCAAGGCUAAAUACUCCUGACUGACCGAUAGUGAACCAGUACCGUGAGGGAAAGGCGAAAAGAACCCCGGCGAGGGGAGUGAAAAAGAACCUGAAACCGUGUACGUACAAGCAGUGGGAGCACAGGUUUACCUGUGUGACUGCGUACCUUUUGUAUAAUGGGUCAGCGACUUAUAUUCUGUAGCAAGGUUAACCGAAUAGGGGAGCCGGAGGGAAACCGAGUCUUAAUUGGGCGUUAAGUUGCAGGGUAUAGACCCGAAACCCGGUGAUCUAGCCAUGGGCAGGUUGAAGGUUGGGUAACACUAACUGGAGGACCGAACCGACUAAUGUUGAAAAAUUAGCGGAUGACCUGUGGCUGGGGGUGAAAGGCCAAUCAAACCGGGAGAUAGCUGGUUCUCCCCGAAAGCUAUUUAGGUAGCGCCUCGUGAAUUCAUCUCCGGGGGUAGAGCACUGUUUCGGCUAGGGGGCCAUCCCGGCUUACCAACCCGAUGCAAACUGCGAAUACCGGAGAAUGUUAUCACGGGAGACACACGGCGGGUGCUAACGUCCGUCGUGAAGAGGGAAACAACCCAGACCGCCAGCUAAGGUCCCAAAGUCAUGGUUAAGUGGGAAACGAUGUGGGAAGGCCCAGACAGCCAGGAUGUUGGCUUAGAAGCAGCCAUCAUUUAAAGAAAGCGUAAUAGCUCACUGGUCGAGUCGGCCUGCGCGGAAGAUGUAACGGGGCUAAACCAUGCACCGAAGCUGCGGCAGCGAACGUAUCACUUAAAGCGAUUCAGCGGGUUACGAUUGACGGAGCGAAGCGACGUCAAAGCGUAUACAAAGUCGAGUUGGCUUAGGGAUACGUUCGUUGGGUAGGGGAGCGUUCUGUAAGCCUGUGAAGGUGGCCUGUGAGGGUUGCUGGAGGUAUCAGAAGUGCGAAUGCUGACAUAAGUAACGAUAAAGCGGGUGAAAAGCCCGCUCGCCGGAAGACCAAGGGUUCCUGUCCAACGUUAAUCGGGGCAGGGUGAGUCGACCCCUAAGGCGAGGCCGAAAGGCGUAGUCGAUGGGAAACGGGUUAAUAUUCCCGUACUUGGUGUUACUGCGAAGGGGGGACGGAGAAGGCUAUGUUGGCCGGGCGACGGUUGUCCCGGUUUAAGCGUGUAGGUGUGUGUUCCAGGUAAAUCCGGUUCACUUUAACACUGAGGCGUGACGACGAGGCACUACGGUGCUGAAGCAACAAAUGCCCUGCUUCCAGGAAAAGCCUCUAAGCAUCAGGUAACACGAAAUCGUACCCCAAACCGACACAGGUGGUCAGGUAGAGAAUACCAAGGCGCUUGAGAGAACUCGGGUGAAGGAACUAGGCAAAAUGGUGCCGUAACUUCGGGAGAAGGCACGCUGACACGUAGGUGAAGUGAUUUACUCAUGGAGCUGAAGUCAGUCGAAGAUACCAGCUGGCUGCAACUGUUUAUUAAAAACACAGCACUGUGCAAACACGAAAGUGGACGUAUACGGUGUGACGCCUGCCCGGUGCCGGAAGGUUAAUUGAUGGGGUCAGCGCAAGCGAAGCUCCUGAUCGAAGCCCCGGUAAACGGCGGCCGUAACUAUAACGGUCCUAAGGUAGCGAAAUUCCUUGUCGGGUAAGUUCCGACCUGCACGAAUGGCGUAAUGAUGGCCAGGCUGUCUCCACCCGAGACUCAGUGAAAUUGAACUCGCUGUGAAGAUGCAGUGUACCCGCGGCAAGACGGAAAGACCCCGUGAACCUUUACUAUAGCUUGACACUGAACAUUGAGCCUUGAUGUGUAGGAUAGGUGGGAGGCUUUGAAGUGUGGACGCCAGUCUGCAUGGAGCCGACCUUGAAAUACCACCCUUUAAUGUUUGAUGUUCUAACGUGGACCCGUAAUCCGGGUUGCGGACAGUGUCUGGUGGGUAGUUUGACUGGGGCGGUCUCCUCCUAAAGAGUAACGGAGGAGCACGAAGGUUGGCUAAUCCUGGUCGGACAUCAGGAGGUUAGUGCAAUGGCAUAAGCCAGCUUGACUGCGAGCGUGACGGCGCGAGCAGGUGCGAAAGCAGGUCAUAGUGAUCCGGUGGUUCUGAAUGGAAGGGCCAUCGCUCAACGGAUAAAAGGUACUCCGGGGAUAACAGGCUGAUACCGCCCAAGAGUUCAUAUCGACGGCGGUGUUUGGCACCUCGAUGUCGGCUCAUCACAUCCUGGGGCUGAAGUAGGUCCCAAGGGUAUGGCUGUUCGCCAUUUAAAGUGGUACGCGAGCUGGGUUUAGAACGUCGUGAGACAGUUCGGUCCCUAUCUGCCGUGGGCGCUGGAGAACUGAGGGGGGCUGCUCCUAGUACGAGAGGACCGGAGUGGACGCAUCACUGGUGUUCGGGUUGUCAUGCCAAUGGCACUGCCCGGUAGCUAAAUGCGGAAGAGAUAAGUGCUGAAAGCAUCUAAGCACGAAACUUGCCCCGAGAUGAGUUCUCCCUGAGACUUAGAGUCUCCUGAAGGAACGUUGAAGACGACGACGUUGAUAGGCCGGGUGUGUAAGCGCAGCGAUGCGUUGAGCUAACCGGUACUAAUGAACCGUGAGGCUUAACCUU